CUGCGGUGUCGUUUCCGGCGUUCACUGGGUGUGAGCNGCAUUGGCCUGGCACCGGACGGCCGCACUUCCACCCUAGUAGAAACGUCNCGACCCGUUNGGUGCCGGUCUAAGGNCCGGGAAGGNAGACCCUUGUCCUGAGGGGAGGGUGCCUCANGCAUGUGGACUCCCGGUGACCUGGCCGGCUGCCCGACGGUCUAUGAGCNNAGGANCCGGUCCGCUGAAUGGGAAACACUGUGGUGUGAAGCGUCCGACUCGGUAGCCGUAUCUGUUCGCCGGGGAUUCNCAGACGGUGUCUGUCCUUGACNGCACGGUCUCCCCGGGGCUGAUAGGUUUGCCGGAANAUUUCGGACGGGACCGAUACUCCUGUCGGCGACGAUCUCCUUCGGAUGGUCUCCCGACCC
This 401-nucleotide ribosomal RNA is filed under the name Pylaemenes guangxiensis. Its description in RNAcentral is "partial 28S ribosomal RNA". Lineage: Eukaryota; Metazoa; Arthropoda; Insecta; Phasmatodea; Heteropterygidae. The record is from RNAcentral.